CUCGACUGUGCUUUAUUGAAAGUUCCCAUCGCGGGGGCGAGGAUACUUGCCUUCGCGGUUCGACUUUCUUUUCAGGCUUGACU
This 83-nucleotide unclassified non-coding RNA is filed under the name Arabidopsis thaliana (thale cress). RNAcentral describes it as "partial miscellaneous RNA". The record is from RNAcentral. Lineage: Eukaryota; Viridiplantae; Streptophyta; Magnoliopsida; Brassicales; Brassicaceae.